UGAGAGGCUCGUGGUACCUGGGUGUCACUAGCACGCACGUCCACGUCACAGUACGUACAGCAAAUGAAGGGGGCGGUUCCCGGAUCACGUUGCUGCGCAGACAAGUGGCGAGGAAUAUUUUGUGGCUCGUCUUAUCUUUACCAUAUGUGUUUACCUCUCUUUUCUGUUCCUGCGACCGUGAUUUUCAGUGCGUGGUAGGCUGUAUAGACAAAGUUAUACGAGGACCUGUACAAACAACUGGAUUUCUUAAACCCUGGAUCUGGGAGAAUAUUGGUUGUGAGAAGCCCAAGGAGUCUAAGAAAAUUAACAUAAAUAAGAAGAGGCACUUGCUUGAAAAUAUGAUGAAGAUAAUUGUUUUCCUCUUUCUUUUUAUCGAUACCAGUAGUGCUGCGUACAAACGAUGGCUGCCAGACACCAACUUCGAGAACCCUCACAACUGGAACGUAGGCCGAGCACCGUGCGGUAACGACCGUGUGUUAAUCCCUGACGACAGUCCAGUCGUUUAUAUGCAGAUGAACACCACGCUGCAAGAACUGAUUUUGCCAACAAAUGGAGAGAUAAUUCUAGGGAACAAUGUGCAGCUGGCUUUUACACAGGCCCCUCUGGACUCUGCUGGCUGCCCUGAAGUUGGUGGAGAUGUGGAAUUCACAGCAAUCCACCCACAACAAUGGGUAGAUCCAAACAACUGGUGUACCACUCAGACGGAGUAUGGUGAUGACUGUCUACCUAGUAUGUUACUGGAGACAGAACAAGUUCCUUGUGUCAACGAUGAUGUUGUCUUUCAACGCUAUCACACCUACUACAUAAACCUUGGCAGUGAUCUGAAGCUGACUGUUAAGACACUAAAACUCAUGGGCAAGUCUUUCACAACCAGCACCUUCGCCCAGUUUCAAAAUUCUUCAGAUGGGCAAAAGAUCUUCUCAGUGAAGUCACCAAGUGCAGCAGGUACAACAAUCACAAUAACACGCCAAGGCUGCAAUAACAAUGGGCGAUGUCCAUGCAGAAGUGAAAAUGAUCAGAUAAUAAGUGAAAUAUGUGCAGUCCAAGCCCGUAGAUGUUCAAGGGCUGCCUGCAGUUUACCCAUUAAACCAGUUGGAGCCUGUUGUGAUAUGUGUGGAGCAGUUCUUAAUGGAAAAACAGGUCAAGGUUUCAACUUUGAUGCAUUCAAGAACUUGCUACAACAAAAUUUUUUUAACAAUAAUACGGAUGUUCAGACUGCAGUCUCCCUGACAAGUCCUGGCAAUGUGCAGAUUGUCCUUCAGAGUGAAACUGGCUCCAAGAGCACUAAAUUAGCGCACAUAAUCAAAGCAGAUAUUGAUGCAGAUUUGAAGACUGGUGGUCACAAAUAUGCACUGAACGACAUAAAUUAUGUCGAUUCAGGAACUGAAACAGCAGAUAAAAUGACAGAUGGUCAGGAAGGAAUCCCAAAACUAACAAUUGCAGCCAUUAUCAUCGGCGUACUUCUCCUGAUGACUUUUGUCACAAUUGCUCUACUGGUUUGGAAGUGUGGAAGAUCCAGGAUACUUCAAGGGAUCCAUUUAAGAAGACACCUGCACCUGAAUUUAGGUCGUAAGAGAGAACCACCAUCAGGUGCAGCCACUCCUCCACAUACUGUUGGGUCACUAGAUCCUGGUUUUGCUAAUCCCUUGUAUGAUUCAUCACCAUUUGAGAAAAAUGUAAGUGCCAAGUGAGAUGGAAUUAAGGAGUCCCAAGGAAGAGCAGCCAACAUUUGAUGCUGGUGACAGUGCCAGUGGCUUCAACAAUCCACUCUACGGAGCAGGAAGCUUCUUUGCUGACCCUGCUGCAAUUCCAGAG
RNAcentral lists this unclassified non-coding RNA (1815 nucleotides) under Pomacea canaliculata. RNAcentral describes it as "protein amnionless-like, transcript variant X3". Lineage: Eukaryota; Metazoa; Mollusca; Gastropoda; Architaenioglossa; Ampullariidae. The record is from RNAcentral.